CAGACAGUCCUGUGUUCUGCUUUAGUAAUAUAAACACAGUCUCAUAGCCAGGUGUGUAGUGACCAACCAUUCAUACUGGGAUAUAGACAGUCCUGUGUUCUGCUUUAGUAAUAUAAACACAGUCUCAUAGCCAGGUGUGUACUGACCAACCAUUCAUACUGGGAUACAGACAGUCCUGUGUUCUGCUUUAGUAAUAUAAACACAGUCUCAUAGCCAGGUGUGUAGUGACCAACCAUUCAUACUGGGAUAUAGACAGUCCUGUGUUCUGCUUUAGUAAUAUAAACACAGUCUCAAAGCCAGGUGUGUACUGACCAACCAUUCAUACUGGGAUAUAGACAGUCCUGUGUUCUGCUUUAUUAAUAUAAACACAGUCUCAAAGCCAGGUGUGUACUGACCAACCAUUCAUACUGGGAUAUAGACAGUCCUGUGUUCUGCUUGUAGGCAUGCAGGACUUUAGCUGUUGUCAUAUUUUGUCUUUAGACAGUUAAAUUGAUAAAUCACCAGCAUUCCAUGUAACAUUGAAUAAAUAUAUUUGAUGAGUUACUUUGGUAAUGGGCCAGUUUCCCGGACACAUUAAGUCUAGUCCUGGACCUUAAAGAACUUUCUAUUGAAACUUCCAUUGAGCAUGCUUUUUAGUCCAGCACUAGACUCAAUCUGUGUCCAGGAAACAGGCCCCAUAUGUAU
Oncorhynchus keta (chum salmon) is the source of this 684-nucleotide long non-coding RNA. RefSeq lists it as uncharacterized. The record is from RefSeq and is a predicted model, not a curated record. The transcript is spliced from 3 exons. Lineage: Eukaryota; Metazoa; Chordata; Actinopteri; Salmoniformes; Salmonidae.